UUAAUUUAAUCCAACGGACAAGGUUUUUUCCUACUCUUCUUUCUCUUUCGUCUCCUUCACCGAGGGAUUACCUUUCUCUGCAACGGACAAGGUUUUUUCCUUCUCUUCUUUCUCCUUUGUCUCUUUAGCCGAUUAACUUUCUCUUCUUUCUCCUUUCUCUCCUCCUCCCGUUGCUUCAUUCUAUUCGAUCUUCAUCUUGUCGUUGUUUUCAUCCUCUCAAGUUUUUAGAUUUGGUACCAGAGCAUUUUUGUGUAUCUCAGAUCCAAGAGCGAAGCUCGUCAAUACGAUGCUGACCGCGAUGUAAACUAAGGAAGAGAAGAGAAGCGCACUUGUCGCAACCCUCUCGAUUUCCCUAUCAUCAGAACCCCUUGAUGACACUGAGAGCGAAGCUCGUCAAUACGAUGCUGAGCGCUCUGAAUUUGGCGGCUUCGGUUGCGCCACCGUAAAGGUGCAAAUUCUUCUUCUUAUUCUUCUCCAUUUUCUAUUCAUCAUAUAUAGUUAGGUUUAUAGCUCUAUUGAUUGAUUUGUGUUCUGUGAUAGGUGAGUAGAAUCAUAGAUUUGAGCUGCAUUAAUUUGGGUCCGAGCUAAAAUCUGAAUCUUGUUGUAGGACCUGCGAGGUCAUGUUCUUUGUCUGUUCGUUGCAAGGAUGCUCAUGGUCACCAUGCUCAAGCACACUCUUAGACAGAGCUCAUGAUGUACAACUUUAUUUCAGAGUGGAAGGUACUUGAAGAAAUGAGUUACUUUGGGAACAUUAGUGGGAACUACUUAGGCUUCAAUGAUGGAAUAUCAAGCAAUUGAGAAUGUGCUACAAACCAUUUAUUAUGUAGUUGUUCAUCUUUUUUUUUCUAAUUAUGUUUUUUUUUAGGAGGAUGAAGUAUUCUUAUUUUUAAUUAUGAUUUUUAA
This is a non-coding RNA of Camelina sativa (false flax), 903 nucleotides long. Lineage: Eukaryota; Viridiplantae; Streptophyta; Magnoliopsida; Brassicales; Brassicaceae. The record is from RefSeq and is a predicted model, not a curated record.